This 1996-nucleotide long non-coding RNA is filed under the name Mytilus galloprovincialis (Mediterranean mussel). Lineage: Eukaryota; Metazoa; Mollusca; Bivalvia; Mytilida; Mytilidae. The record is from RNAcentral.
UACUGAUGUAUGGAAAUUUAUUUGGUGUUUCAUUUUGUUAUAAACAUUCAAAGCAAACUACUGUGUUAUAGAUAGCUUUGAGCUGGUAUACACUAAUUUGCAUAUAAAACUAAGUAUCUAUGCAACACAAACUUACAAUGACAUUCUGUAUAAAGCACCUUUAACCAAAUGGAACAAAAAUAUGAUCCUUACUUAACAUUAGCAUAAAAUAGGGACUAUAAAAGAUGUCACAUCUACAUCAGUCAACUAUAAGAUGGCAAGUAUAUACGAUUUUUCAUUUUGAAACAAAAUUUAUUAAAAUGGAACAGUUUUGAAUCUUUAUUUUACCUUGAAGUAAAACUCAAAUGUGGCAAAAUACAAUAAUUUUGCAUCUGCAUGUGUAGAAACUUGCUAAACUUUCAUCAAUUUUUUUUAAACAUUUCUUAUACAAUUCUAUGAUCCAUUUUUUUUACUGACUUAUGAUCAAUGUAAAACAUGUUUUGCUUCUGGACAAAAUUUCUAAAAGCAAAGGUUGAAUCUAAACAAAUUUUCCUGGUUUUAUAAUAUUCAUUUUUUUUAAAUAGCUAAAAUAAUAUUCGUUACAUUGUUGAUGAGGAGUAAUUAAUUGAAUUCAUAAUAUUUGUAUUAUUUAGUAUUACAUUUUGGAUGGAGCUUUAAUUUAAUAUGCGAUUCACAAAACUUCCGAAUGUUGCAUAAAGAAAACUGGUUUCACCGGAAAUGUGACAACUUCAUCCAAUUAUGUCAAAAUAAUUCCAAAAAAUAACAUAAAUCAUAAUAAGAUUGAACUGACUACAUCUGACCCGUAAUGUACAGACUCAUCAACCAGGAAAAAAACAUACUGUACAGGAAUACAUUAAAAAAUGUUUAUAUAAAAUACUGAUGACGAGACAAACUCGUCAUUUUGGAAUCUAAGACUAUGGGUAAUCUCAUUGUUUGUACACCAAAAAUGAAAAACGUUACGUCAUUGGUUGAAUUUCCAUUGUUUGGAAAGUUUUGAACAAUCACAGAAUUUUGGUGAACCUUUUGAAAAUAUUACCCAGAAUGCAUUAGAUUCUGAAACCAUGAAUUGUUACAGGUUGGUUUCUUUAUUUCUCAACAGUGCAAAGCUUUAGUUAAAUGAAUUCCACUAACAAAAAAGUAGUACUGCCAAAUAAAUUUAUUUAAAAACAGUAACAGAAAUGCACAUUUUCAGUGUACUUUCACUUAAAUCUGUAGUUUUUAUUUUCAUGAAGUUAAUAUUUCAAAGUUCUUCAACUGUCUGUCCCAUCUUUCAAACAUGGUUGCAAAAUAAUCUAAAGUUCUAUCUAUUAUUAAACUCAAUUAAAAAAUGAAGAAAUUGUUUUAUCAAAUAAAACCUUAUUAACAAAUACAAUAAUAUAUAUAUAUGUAUAUGUGUGUGGAAUGUUUUAUGUAUAUGCUACAAAAUGUGCGUGUUAUUCUUUUAUUGCUAAGUACACAAAUAGAAAUAAUGAAAUUUCCAUUUUGAUUCAAGCUCUAAAAUUGUGUAUGAAAAAGUUUAUGCAGUGCUGAGAAUAUCAUGAUGUUGGGUUUUUUUUUUUUGAUGACCCUUAAAUGAUAAAAUGUACAUACAAAUUAAUGCAAAAAUUAGAUUUUAAAGUCCUCAUUGUCAAUGUUUUUAUUGAAAAUACUGAAACUACAAACAAAAAAUUGUGUAAGUUGUGUAUCAAUUUUAAAUUCAAAAUACUUGAUCAAAAUACAAUGUUGCAGAUUUUAAUCAUUCCUUUAUCUAAUUGGAUCAAGCAUAAGUCCAAACAGUCUGUAUAUUGUGCUCUUAUUUUAUUACCAUGCCUUUACACACAAAAAAAGUUAAAACAAAAAUGAUUUAAGAAUGAUGUAAUCAUUGAAAUGGCAUCCAUUUUUCAUCAGAUAAACUCUCAAAUCAAAACUAUUUCAAGAAAAAGGUGAAAUAUUGAAAGGUGUAUUUUGAAAUUUGUGCUAUAAUAUACUCUGGAGUUUUUUGCCAAAAAGAUUAAAU